RNAcentral lists this ribosomal RNA (494 nucleotides) under uncultured bacterium. RNAcentral's name for it is "partial 16S ribosomal RNA". It matches the Rfam family "Bacterial small subunit ribosomal RNA", at positions 28 to 507 of the family's 1533-position model. The record is from RNAcentral.
GACGAACGCUGGCGGCGUGCUUAACACAUGCAAGUCGAACGGAAAGGCCUGUCCUUCCUUGUGUUGGACGGGUACUCGAGUGGCGAACGGGUGAGUAACACGUGAGUGAUCUGCCCCCAACUUGGGUAUAAGCCUGGGAAACUGGGUCUAAUUCCCGAUAGGACUGCAGGGUGGUGCCUGUGGUGGAAAACGAUUUUCUAGUGGUUGGGGAUGAGCUCGCGGCCUAUCAGCUUGUUGGUGGGGUAAUGGCCUACCAAGGCGGCGACGGGUAGCCGGCCUGAGAGGGUGGACGGCCACAUUGGGACUGAGAUACGGCCCAGACUCCUACGGGAGGCAGCAGUGGGGAAUAUUGCACAAUGGGCGGAAGCCUGAUGCAGCGACGCCGCGUGGGGGAUGAUGGCCUUCGGGUUGUAAACUCCUUUCGACCGCGAGGAAGCCGCCUGGUUGGAAGGGUGGUGACGGUAGUGGUAGAAGAAGCACCGGCUAACUACGUG